This 253-nucleotide ribosomal RNA is filed under the name uncultured bacterium. RNAcentral's name for it is "partial 16S ribosomal RNA". It matches the Rfam family "Bacterial small subunit ribosomal RNA", at positions 524 to 776 of the family's 1533-position model. RNAcentral also lists the same sequence under 1 other name. The record is from RNAcentral.
UACGAAGGGGGCUAGCGUUGUUCGGAAUUACUGGGCGUAAAGCGCACGUAGGCGGAUAUUUAAGUCAGGGGUGAAAUCCCGGGGCUCAACCCCGGAACUGCCUUUGAUACUGGGUAUCUAGAGUCCAGAAGAGGUGAGUGGAAUUCCGAGUGUAGAGGUGAAAUUCGUAGAUAUUCGGAGGAACACCAGUGGCGAAGGCGGCUCACUGGUCUGGUACUGACGCUGAGGUGCGAAAGCGUGGGGAGCAAACAGG